This is a long non-coding RNA of Chroicocephalus ridibundus (black-headed gull), 601 nucleotides long. RefSeq lists it as uncharacterized. The transcript has 4 exons. NCBI's taxonomy places the organism in Eukaryota, Metazoa, Chordata, Aves, Charadriiformes, Laridae. The record is from RefSeq and is a predicted model, not a curated record.
GUGACGGCGGCGGCGGCGGCUGAGGGGGUGGUUGUGGCCGUGGGCACCGAGGGAGGAGACACACACACCCCCCCCCCUCCCAGGCCCCGCCGUUACUUCAUCCCCGGGGGUGCCGAGGGACUGGAAGAGGCUCUAAGGUCUCCCCGAAGCCUUCCUUCUCCAGGCCAAACACCCCCACGUCUCUCAGCCUGUCCUUGCAGCAGAGGGGCUCCAGCCCUCUGAGCAUCUCCGAGGCCUUUUCUGGACACUCUCCAACAAGCCCAUGCCCUUCUGAUGUUGAGGGCUCCAGAGCUGGAUGCAGCACUGCAGGUGCACACACCACUCCUGCUCAGAACCAUGUGGUGUCCUGACAGCCGUGCGACUUCGUCUACAAGCUAUGCAACCUGCCUGUGCAGCAAGGUUGGAGUUAAAUUAUGGCCCCUCUUGUGAGACAGAAGCCAACAGCUCGAGCACCACACUCAGAAAACACAUUCUGUACCACAUCUGCAUGAGGACGGCCAAUCGUUGCCCUAAUCUUUAUGUCACCCACUCUGUACAUCUGUAAUUAAAGGUUUCCAGUAACUAGCAAUUUGUCCAUCUGAAGCAAUGCUGGUAUGUGUAC